RNAcentral lists this ribosomal RNA (621 nucleotides) under uncultured bacterium. RNAcentral's name for it is "bacterial SSU rRNA". It matches the Rfam family "Bacterial small subunit ribosomal RNA", at positions 8 to 622 of the family's 1533-position model. The record is from RNAcentral.
AGAGUUUGAUCCUGGCUCAGAUUGAACGCUGGCGGAAUGCUUUACACAUGCAAGUCGAACGGCAGCACGGGAGCUUGCUCCUGGUGGCGAGUGGCGAACGGGUGAGUAAUAUAUCGGAACGUAUCCAAUAAUGGGGGAUAACUAAUCGAAAGGUUGGCUAAUACCGCAUACGCCCUGAGGGGGAAAGCUGGGGAUCUUCGGACCUAGCGUUAAUGGAGCGGCCGAUAUCUGAUUAGCUAGUUGGUGGGGUAAAGGCCCACCAAGGCGACGAUCAGUAGCUGGUCUGAGAGGACGACCAGCCACACUGGAACUGAGACACGGUCCAGACUCCUACGGGAGGCAGCAGUGGGGAAUUUUGGACAAUGGGCGCAAGCCUGAUCCAGCCAUUCCGCGUGAGUGAAGAAGGCCUUCGGGUUGUAAAGCUCUUUCGCAAGGGAAGAAACGAUUUAGGUGAAUAAUCUAAGUUAAUGACGGUACCUUGAUAAGAAGCACCGGCUAACUACGUGCCAGCAGCCGCGGUAAUACGUAGGGUGCGAGCGUUAAUCGGAAUUACUGGGCGUAAAGCGUGCGCAGGCUGUUUUGUAAGUCAGAUGUGAAAUCCCCGAGCUCAACUUGGGAACU